Molecule: long non-coding RNA, 6941 nt
Organism: Dermochelys coriacea (leatherback sea turtle)
Lineage: Eukaryota; Metazoa; Chordata; Testudines; Dermochelyidae
Exons: 3
Source: RefSeq, a predicted model, not a curated record
CAGCUUUCGUGGGCUACGGCUCACUUUGUCGGAUGCAUUCCGAUGAAGUGGGCUGUAGCUCACGAAAGCUGAUGCUCCAAUAAACGUGUUAGCCUCUAAGGUGCCACAAGUCCUCCUGUUCUUUUUGUGGAUCCAGACUAACCACGGCUGCUCCUCUGGAACCUGUCAAGAAACUUUGACUGCCAGCAGCCUGUCCCCAGCUGCCUAUGGAAUCCCUGCUGUGCUGCAGCCUUCCCCUGCUUCCUGGUGAGUCCUGCCCAUUCCCCAGACCAGCCCCUUGUGCCAGAAUCUGGGGCGCAGGCACAGAGAGCCGUGAAAGCUGGCUUGGAUAAAGCUUGUACCCGAGGAAGGUCUCCCCUGGACAAAUCCAGGGUGCUACUGGUUAUUUUAUGCUCUCACGGCAGCAUAAAUAAGCCAUAGUGGCGGGGAUAAUCUCACCCUUUGCGCCUAUAUUCUGUGUGCCAAGGGCCACUCUUCUAUUUUAAAAAAAAACAAAAUAUCACUGCAGGCAAAAUUCUGCCCCUCAGUUACUUAUGCAGUAAGGAGUUGCAUGCACAUUUCAAAAGGAACAAUUUGCUCCUUUGUGAGACAGACAGAUUUGCUGAAUUUACAAUAUUAUAUAUUAUUUUAAAGUAAAAUACACAUUUAGUAGAUUAGAAUCUAUAAAAAUUAUGAUUUCAGAUCUUUCAAAACAAUGGUUGUGUGUUGAGGAACUAAGAAUACUGUAGGAGGGAAACAACUUAUCAAAAUCUUUGUAUGCAUAAAAUGUAAAUGGAUUAAUAAAUAUCAUAUGCUCGUGAUAUAAGAUUGGUAAAUUUCUAACUGAUUACUGUGCUUUCUGUGUUGCAUUACAUUUCACUCAUCAUGUUUUAAGCUUCUCCUAAAUUAAAAGUAAAAAGUGCAGCAAUUGGAUGCUCUUUGAGGGUCCAACAUUAUGUUGUUGUGAUGACCACAGUUGUAAGACAUGUAAAUGGGAUUGCUCACCAAAAAGUUCUAGUUCUUAAAGACAUCGGGGCGUCUUUACCAAUUUUGCCGCCCCAAGCAGUUGCCACCGAAUUGCUGCCGCCGCAACAGCAGCGGAGUUGCCGCUGAAAGCUGUGGCAGCGGGAAGUGUUGCUGCCGAAUUGCCGCCACGGGACACGGACUGUCGCCCCAUUCUAAAUGCCGCCCUAAGCACCUGCUUGGAAAGCUGGUGGCUGGAGCCGGCCCUGGAAGACAUCAUGCCAUUUCCCUGGCAUUAUUGGUCUUUGACAUCAUAUUGGGAGUUAUUCACUAAAUUUAUUUCAAUAUUUUGUCUUAGGGUAGUGUUCAGUAGUCCCCCUAAGUGACUUAGGAGCCUAUAUCUCAUUUUCAAAGCUGACUUUAGUCUAUUGUUUUAAACCUCCAGUUAUUGGUUUUAAGCUCUUAAGUGUCUAAGUCACCUUUGAAAAUGAGACUUAAGUGACAUAGGCCUGGUCUACGCUAUAAACUUACAUCCGUAUAACUGCAUUAUUUAAGAGGUGAAAAAUCCACACCCCAGGCAAUGCAGUUGUACUGACUUAACCCGCAGUAUAGACAGAACUGGUCGAUGGGAGGGCUUCUCACAUAGCUACCACCUCUUGUGGAGGUGGAUUAACUAUGCCGAUGGGAGCUGCUUUUUUCAAUCUACAGAGUAGCGUCUUCACAGAGGCACUACAACGGGGCAGCUGCACCAGAGCAGCAUUUUUAAGUGUAGACCUGCCCUUAGCAGCCUGAGCUUUUGAAACUGUUACCCUAUACACAUAGCAAAUAAGUAGUUUUUACUGUUGUGAGAAUUGGCCACAGAAACAAUGCAGUGUUCCAUAAUUAUAUAUGCAUUUCCACCAGACAUUAGAGCCUUUGUUUUAUUAUGGCAGUUUUUAACAAAAAUGGAGAAAAAUAUCAAGAUUAUGGGCAUAAGUUUCUUGUUUUAGUGCAACUAACUUCAAAAUUUGCUUGAGCUAUGUAUUGGUGGACAGAUUUGACUGUAGCAUUUGCUGACUAAACUCUGCAAACCCGAGAUAAUUCUUAGUUUUUUUCAAUAUAUUGACUAAAAUAUUUUGAAUUUUGAAAAUUUUUGAUGAAAAGGGAACAUUUUUUUCAGGAAAAUUGUUUCCAUUUUUACCAGCUCUUGUUCUCUGUGAAAUCUGUACAAUUCUUAUCAUGUCUACCAACCCACAUGCAAAAUUCAUGGAUAAUUUUUUAAAAAGCAAUGUAAGUCACAGAAUCCAUGAAAACAAUGAAGACUUAUGAAUCUCAUAAAUAGACUGAGUCUCUUUUGGAGAAAAUACAACAAAUUGCCUUGAUGGCAAUGCAAAGGUGAGUAAAAUUUGCACAGUGCAAUCCAGAUAUAAUGGGUAGAUUCUUGGCUAGAAUGAAUAAGCAUAGCUCCACUGAAAUAAAUGGAGCAAUGUUAAUUUGCACCCACAGAGAAUUUGGACCACCAGUUGGUGAUUGGAAUCAGGUAAAUAAGUCAAAAUCAAUAUUGCUGAUUGUUAUGAUUGAUCCUUUCUAGGAACCUGAAACUAAGUAACAUAGGUGCUGGGGGUGCUCCCACAGCCCCUAGCUGAAAAUUGAUUCCACUAUAUACAUGGUUUAUAGUUUGGUUCAAUGGCUCUCAGCACCCCCACUAUACAAAUUGUUCCAGCACCCCUGCUAAGUAAGUGUAGGGAAUGAUCCUGAACAUUUAGGAAAUUAUUUAAGAAUAGUUUCUUAAUUUAAAAACAUUAUUCCUGUAAUGUUAACAAGGCCACAAUAGGUCCAUUAUCUGGCAGGCAAAUGCCAGUCACAGAUAUAUGAUAAUGGUGAACAACUUUUGAAACAUAACCCAAAAUGUUAAAACUACUACAUAAGUUUAAAAUAAUCCUGUCUUCAGAAAAGAUGUCAGACUCCCAGGUCCAUAGAAAUUUCAUAAUUUUGGAUCCCAUAGUCCUAGAGUUGUAAAUCAUUUAAUAAAUGGGCCAAAUCACUUGUUUCCUUCAGUCAACUCUAGGUGGCAACAUAGAAAUAACACAAUUGGGAGCAGUAUCUGAAGAGAACACUGGAUGGCCUUCUAUAGCUGGUUCAUAGGGUUAUUCCCUGUUGCCUCCCAGUCCUCACCCCUUGAUCUGCUUCCAGCCCCUUCUUUGCUAGGGUUAUGUUUGCGCAAGUACCUGGGAUAAUCCAUAUUCAGUCCAAUUUUCAAAAUCAUCUUUAAUGUAUUUCAACCUAUGAAUUUUAUGCAUUAUUUACAACAGAGAGUUCAGCAUACAGGGUUCAGCCAGUAUAAGGACACCCCUUUUCUCAGAAACAUGGUUCUAUACAUUCCACUGACUCUACACCACCUGGGAAUUCUUCUUACAUAAGGGGUGCCAGUUAAACCCACUCUCUGAUGCCAGAGCAGACCAGAAAACCAGGCCUAGGGAGUUUAAGUGACUUACAAAACUGUAUGUAUGCCAGCCUCUUAUCUACUAGGUCACAGCAUGUCUCAUACACAUUGAUUCAAAUUUCUGUAGUUAAUUAGGUCAGCGGUGAAAUGAAGAUAAGGAAAUCUACAUACUUUUGAGAUCUACAGAUGGAAAACACUAGAAAAAAGGCAAAGUGUGAGUAACAUUUUUCAGAAGGGGUAACAGAGAAGGCCAGUAACUUAGUUAGGAAACACUAUAGUCUCCAGGCUAUACGUGAGAGACGUACAAUAGCUUCUAGUCUGAAAAUUUGCAUUUGCUUUGUAGUUCUUACCAACCUUUGGGGUGAAGAUAGGUUGCACUGUGGCUGCAUGUAUGGCAUACCAAGGGCACAUAUGUGUCUUGUCACACAUGCAUGAAAUGAGGUCAGGGUCAAUGGAUGUCAUUAUCAGUUUACUCAGCCCUUCACUGUAAUAGUCUGGUAACCCAUCCAUCCUAGUUACUGACGGCAUCAACAAAAUCUAAACAAUUGAAAGCAAGGAAAGGAAUAAUUAAGGACAUAAAAAGUCUUACGCUGCCCACAUAAUAAACAAAUACACUAGCAAGUAUUAAAAAAUGAAAAUUUUAUCAGAACUCAGAGGUUUCAAUGAACAUGUCUGGGCUUAUUCCUGCAACCCUUAAUCAGACAAACCACCUUUAUUCACAGUUGUAGUUCUGUUGAUGUCAACUAGUCAUGUCUUUAACUGUUGAAGGAUUAUGCCCUACAUUUAUCUAUAGUUUCAAGUUCCUAGAAAGGAUCAAUAAUAAUUUGCUACAGUGAUUUUUGAAAUAUUUUCUUAGUUGCCUGAUUCCAAUCACAGGCAAAUUUUCACUCAAUAUUUAGAGAUAUCUUCCUCUUCAACUUACUUUUUCUUCUACAAAACCAAAACUAAUAGAAUAAAAAUAUAAAAAGUCAUAUAUGUUUGACAUUCUCUAUUUUCUUAUUUCAUAAUCUCAGGGAUCCAAUGGAUAAUACCUAAUCUUGUUCCACAUAGACUGUUUCUUAUUUGGAGGAUUCUAUUUCAAGACAUAAGGGGCAUGUCAGCAAUCAGCACUUAUUCCACCAAAACGCUGUUGUGGCCUGAAGCUUCAUUAGCUUUUCCAUAAAGGUCCUUCCAUACUAGGAAAUACCCUUUAACAAGGCUUCCAGGACAGUGAGAGUCCUGGCAAUACAGCAUAGAGUUGCUACCUAGGGGCCUAAACCAGAGGUUAGGGACCCCACUGCCAAUAGUAAGGCACAGAGACCUCAUAUGGGUGGCCUUGUAUCCUUAUCAGACCCUUUAAAUUAGCAUGUCUCAAGGGAUCUGAGAUAUCAUUUAGUGGUAUUCUCAGGGUAGAAGUGCUGCCAACUCUUCAUAGAACAGGCUUGUGGAUGGGAUAGCAGGAAACCCCAUUUCCCCAAAUGGAAAACUCCUUGAGGAUAAUGUUAAUAAUUUCCUCCUCUAAAUCCGCCUCCUGCAAUCUGGUCCAGGGUCUUAAAAAUUACUGGAAAACAUAAUUUCUUAAUUGCUUAGGGUUUUUUCAACAAAAUACAUUAUAUGUUCAAAACCCGUUACCAUAAUAUUCUAUAGCCAUCAUUUCUUUUGAUCUGGACAUCCACAGUAAUAGAUCCCCAAACACAGUUCAUAAUUCUUUCUUGAAAGAAAGGUUCAGUGACUACAAGACUUGCAGGAUGGCUAGUUCUGCCACUCUCUCCUGCCAAAAUGUGACAGGCACAGCAGGAUUGGAUGGAGGUUUGGCCUUUGGGUAAUUUUCUAGCUCUGCUCCUGUUCUUUAUUUUCCAACAGCAGCCAAUAAUUAUGAUAAUAUUUUACAUAUAUAUAGAACUUUUCAUCCCAAAAGAUCACAAAGUGCUUUACAAACUCAGACUUGAUUGUGGCAAAUAGCCAGAGGUCUGCCUCCAGGGUAGUGGGGAGCUCACUACUCCAAGAACUCCUAAGAGCUUUGGAAAAUGCAGCAUGAACCUGCUUGCUGCAUCACCCGUAGACCGGGUGUGGUGUUUGUUCCUUAUCUGCUUGGCUAGUGCCAAGGGUUGGAUUGGAAAGGACUCUGACUCAGCAUCCUCUCCCUCCCCUUUACAGAGACUGGAGCUGAUGGUGGAGUUAGCCCAAUGGAAUCCUUGGGCUCACUGAGUUCCAGCACUCCCAUUGUGACCAGCUCAAUGUAAGGGAUACAAAUAUUGGAGGGACGUGUAGAGGAGCUACAAUAUGGCUCUAAAUGCACCCAGACCCACUGAAAUACAGCCACCUCUGGGACAGAGAGCUUUAGUCAACUGGUGCACAACAAGUGCUUGAUGGGAUAGGUCUCCCAGACCUUAGGUUGUAAGUACUUUGAAUCAAUGACUCUGUCUUCCUCUGUUUGUAUGGUGUCUGGCACAAUAUGGCCCUGAUCAGCAUCAUGGUAUCUGGGUACUAUAGUAGUAUAAAUAAUAAUAAUAAUAAUACAUGAAAUCCAUAUUCAACUUUAAAUUGAUUAAAUUCUGCCCAGCUGCAGAUAUAAAAUAUUAUCUGUAGCCAACACACCCGUUCAAACAUGCAGAGAAAUUUCUAUCAUUAAUAGUAUUGAUUGAUAAUUUUAAAAGUAUUUUGGAUUGUGAGUUUUCUGAUCAGAUAGCACUAGCAGCACCUACAAUAAUCAAGGUAUUAUGUGGCAUACAUUAUUUUAAAAUUAAUGUGGGGUUUAGGCUGCCCAAGCUGCAAAUAAUACAUAGUUGAUCUAAUAAGCCUUCUGUUGUUCUUGUAGCUCAGCCAAUUACUUAGUUUUAAUGGAAAUAUUAGAAUAAGUAUCACGGUUGUAUUUUACUGGAAGCAAUUUUCAUCAUGACGUAUUUAAAUCAAGUAUCUAAUGACAACAUUUUGGCGAAUAAUUUAGUUACAUGGUCUGAUUUAAGACUGCCAUGUUGAUGACCGCCUAUCAAUUAACAUUUACAUGUUUUAAUGGUACUUUCAAAUCAAUCAAUAUAAAAGUUUUCCCUUUAUUGAUCUUUGAAAUCCUGAAAAUUAUUCAUCUAAAUUCUUGAUUCCCUUUUGACUGCUUCUGUAAUUUUAAAGAUAACUUUAGUCAGCUGGAAAGUGUCUGUUAAAAGAGAAUAGCUCAACUGAAACAAAUUCCUCUUGCUUUUGUCUCCAAGUCAACUGCACUGUGAAAGAACAUGAAAUGUGCAUGCGCUGCUUGAGAGGGUUGCAGAAGAAGAUAAGGUGCAAUCUGACGGACCCUGAUCCUUCAAUAAGCACCAGUACAGGCAGGUCCAUGUGUGCCUAUACAGAGUCUCAUUAAAGUCAAGGAGUCUCUUUGGAGGACUGAAGACGAUGGAAAGCCUCCCAUUGACUUUCGGUCAGGCUGGGACCAAUCAGAGUAGUAGCCACCUGGGGAAGUGAGGAAACAGAUGGACACAGCAAGACAGGUAUGCAGAAAUCACCUACUACAGGACAGGUCCAACAAGGAAAAUAACAGAACACCACUGGCCAUCACAUACAGCCUCCAGCUAAAACCUCUCCAAUGAUCUACAACUUAUCCUGGAAA